Molecule: ribosomal RNA, 1434 nt
Filed under: uncultured bacterium
Lineage: Bacteria
Description: bacterial SSU rRNA
Rfam family: Bacterial small subunit ribosomal RNA
Source: RNAcentral
CUACAGGCUUAACACAUGCAAGUCGAGGGGCAGCAUGGUCUUAUCUUGCUAAGGCCGAUGGCGACCGGCGCACGGGUGAGUAACACGUAUCCAACCUGCCGUCUACUCUUGGACAGCCUUCUGAAAGGAAGAUUAAUACAAGAUGGCAUCAUGAGUCCGCAUGUUCACAUGAUUAAAGGUAUUCCGGUAGACGAUGGGGAUGCGUUCCAUUAGAUAGUAGGCGGGGUAACGGCCCACCUAGUCUUCGAUGGAUAGGGGUUCUGAGAGGAAGGUCCCCCACAUUGGAACUGAGACACGGUCCAAACUCCUACGGGAGGCAGCAGUGAGGAAUAUUGGUCAAUGGGCGAGAGCCUGAACCAGCCAAGUAGCGUGAAGGAUGACUGCCCUAUGGGUUGUAAACUUCUUUUAUAAAGGAAUAAAGUCGGGUAUGGAUACCCGUUUGCAUGUACUUUAUGAAUAAGGAUCGGCUAACUCCGUGCCAGCAGCCGCGGUAAUACGGAGGAUCCGAGCGUUAUCCGGAUUUAUUGGGUUUAAAGGGAGCGUAGAUGGAUGUUUAAGUCAGUUGUGAAAGUUUGCGGCUCAACCGUAAAAUUGCAGUUGAUACUGGAUAUCUUGAGUGCAGUUGAGGCAGGCGGAAUUCGUGGUGUAGCGGUGAAAUGCUUAGAUAUCACGAAGAACUCCGAUUGCGAAGGCAGCCUGCUAAGCUGCAACUGACAUUGAGGCUCGAAAGUGUGGGUAUCAAACAGGAUUAGAUACCCUGGUAGUCCACACGGUAAACGAUGAAUACUCGCUGUUUGCGAUAUACUGCAAGCGGCCAAGCGAAAGCGUUAAGUAUUCCACCUGGGGAGUACGCCGGCAACGGUGAAACUCAAAGGAAUUGACGGGGGCCCGCACAAGCGGAGGAACAUGUGGUUUAAUUCGAUGAUACGCGAGGAACCUUACCCGGGCUUAAAUUGCAGAUGAAUUACGGUGAAAGCCGUAAGCCGCAAGGCAUCUGUGAAGGUGCUGCAUGGUUGUCGUCAGCUCGUGCCGUGAGGUGUCGGCUUAAGUGCCAUAACGAGCGCAACCCUUGUUGUCAGUUACUAACAGGUUCCGCUGAGGACUCUGACAAGACUGCCAUCGUAAGAUGUGAGGAAGGUGGGGAUGACGUCAAAUCAGCACGGCCCUUACGUCCGGGGCUACACACGUGUUACAAUGGGGGGUACAGAGGGCCGCUACCACGCGAGUGGAUGCCAAUCCCCAAAACCUCUCUCAGUUCGGACUGGAGUCUGCAACCCGACUCCACGAAGCUGGAUUCGCUAGUAAUCGCGCAUCAGCCACGGCGCGGUGAAUACGUUCCCGGGCCUUGUACACACCGCCCGUCAAGCCAUGGGAGCCGGGGGUACCUGAAGUGCGUAACCGCGAGGAGCGCCCUAGGGUAAAACUGGUGACUGG